Molecule: long non-coding RNA, 2835 nt
Filed under: Sus scrofa (pig)
Lineage: Eukaryota; Metazoa; Chordata; Mammalia; Artiodactyla; Suidae
Description: lncRNA (ENSSSCG00030019875.1)
Source: RNAcentral
AUGGAACCUGCCAUCUCAUGGAUUCGUUAGCCACUGAGUCACGACGGGAACUCCUGGUGCGUGUUUUUAUUUUUGUUUUUGUUUUUGCUUUUGAGGGCUGCACCUGCAGCAUAUGGAAGUUCCCAGGCGAGGGGUCGAAUUGGAGCUACAGCUGCCAGCCUAUGCCACAGCCACAGCAGAGCAGGAUCUGAGCCAAGUCUGCACCCUACACCACAGCUCACAGCAACACCGGAUCCUUAACCCACUGAGUGAGGCCAGGAUAUGAACCCGAAUCCUUGUGGAUACUAGUUGCAUUCGUAACCCACUGAGCCACAAGGGGACUUUUAACCCAGUGAGAUCCAUUUCAGACUUCUGACCUCCUGCACUAGAAUAGGUAAUAAAUUGAGGAUGUUCUAACUUGCCAAGUUUGGGGUAGUUUGUUAUAGCAGCAAUUGGAAACAGAUACACUGUGUCAUAGGUAAGAGGAGUCUGGGAGCCCAGAAGUGGAAGUAAGAGCGUCCUGCUUACCAUCACUCCUAGCCACCCACUUGGGGAAUUCAUGCUUCCCACAACCCUGGGUUUAAAGCCUAGCACCAUGAAGAAGGCUUCUGUCAAGGAACACAGCAAGGGUUCCAUGAAUUAUGGCUAGAGAUGCCUCCCGAGCCGAGGGGCCAGCAAGCAAGAAGAGUCCCCAUCUUGGCAGGGGUAACAGACCCUGGUCACCAGAAAGAGGUAGCGUUUUGGUUACACAGUGGGAGCAUGGAGAAAUAGAUUUGGUGCCUGGUGAAUUCAUUUGCUGGUUGGUAUUCCCCAGCCCAACUUGGACAGUAAGCGGGCAAGUGCAAGAACUCUGAGAAGGUCAUGAUGGCCAGUUGCAGGCCCCUCAGGAAUGAGGGCCUGGUUACUUUACCAGGUAAACCCCUGAGACCAGAAGAGUCACUAGCUGAGGGUGGGGGAAAUCCAGAAUCAAAAAAGGAAGCCAGAAGUUCCUAUCAUGGCGCAGCAGAAACGAAUCUGGCUGGGAACCAUGAAGUUUGAUCCCUGGCCUUAGUGGGUUAAGGAUCCGGCGUUGCCGUGAGCUGUGGUGUAGGUCCCAGAUGUGGCUCAGAUCCUGUGUUGCUGUGGUGCAGGCCAGCAGCUGUAGCUCUGAUUCGACCCCUAGCUUGGGAACCUCCACAUGCCACGGGUGCAGUCCUAAAAAGAAAAAAAAAAAAAUUAAGAAAAGGAAGGCAAGUAAGUAUCCAUUGUAGCCUCCAGACCUGCUGCAGCAGUGGGGGCUGUAAUUAAUCCCACUCGCCUUCCUCUUCUAUAUCCCCCCAGGAGGGGCACGCCAGAAUCCUGGAGGAAUGGCUCCCUGGACAUCUAUGAAAAAAUGGAGCCCAGUCAUGGCAGGAAUGGUUGUGUCAGAUAGUUCCUGCACCACCAGAUCCCCCUUCUGUAAGAAAGCACUUAUUCCCCCAGCCUCUGGGAGUGUUGCCUGCAGAAAGCCUGUAGCCAUCAGCUCCCAUCAGACAAUGCCUCGGGGAAGAGAGGCGCCUCGUCCAAGGUUGCACCCCUCGUCCAAGCGCCAAUAUGGUGGCCUGGAUGCCCAGCAUGCUUGCCUCAGACCUCCUGCAAUAAUCUCCACUUUAGAGGGGACUUCCCAAGGUGCACACCCCGCAGCAGAGCACGAGGGGAAGCACGGAAAUAGGGUUGGAGGAGAGGGGGCCAGUCCUCACAUGUCAUGUUCGCUCAGACGCUGGCGAGGGUGGUGUUCUUCCCCUUCUCUUAGAGCAAAGGGACGACUCGGCAAGGUUUAAGUAAGCAGUUCUAUGCUCUUUUGCAAAGAUCCCUUUUGCUGUCAUGAGGACAAUAAAUUGUGAGGUCGAGGUUGACACGAGACUGGAAGCAUCGAGCCGCAAGCAGCCAGGCCAGGGAAGGAACCAGAGCUUCAGGUACUACACGUGAUCUUAGCCAAAAGGCCGAGAAGCAAUGGAACCGGAGCUUCAGCAGCAACCCGAGGCAACACCAGCAGACCCUGAAUCCGCUGCACCACAGCAGGAACUCUCCUAACAUCUCCAAGGCUGAAAAAGACUCAAGUUAAUUUCUCCCUCACUCUGUGAGGCCCACGCAGGUCAGCAGGGACUCAUCGGGGUCACUUGGGAACUGGGUGGGUGGACGUUCCAUCGUGAAACCAGCUUCCAUAACUUCCGGGGCUGGGAAGCCAGGGGGGCUUGGCACACCAGCCCCUCAGGCUCGUCUCCCAUUUGAGGAGGGGGUCUUGCCUAACUGCGGAGGAGGCAGGGAGGGACAAUGCUGCCACGGAGCCUGCAGAGGAAGAGAGCUGGGAGCUCUUGGGCGGCACAGAUGGCCAUCAUGUGAGGAAGGGGGAGGGGUGGCUGAGAAAAGCCCUUCAAAUGACGAGGACAUGGGUCUCUGGUAACCUAAGGAAGAGCUGUUUGGUGGCUUUAAGGAAUUAAAGGCCAAAAGGUGACUGGAAUUGAUUAAGGAGGGACUGGAAGGUGAGUAGGAGCCCAUUCUUUCCAUCACGUCCACUGGGAGGGUGGAACGAGGCCGGGACGGGGCUGGAAGAGGAUGCCGGAACAUGAAAAGUUUAGUUUUUUAGUGGGAGAUGCUGCACAUGGGUGAAGAUCAACAGAAAGGAUCCAUUGAAAGGAUUCACAGUGUUCCCACUGUGGCUCAGCAGAAAUGAACCCGACUAGUAUCCAUGAGGCCUUGUUCAGUGGGUUAAGGAUCCAGCGUGGUCAUAAGCUGUGGUGUAGGCUGGCUGCUGCAGCUCUGAUUCGACCCCUAGCCUGGGAACAUCCAGGUGCUGUGAGUGUGGCCCUAAAAAAAAAAAAAAAAAGAAAAGAAAAA